This 396-nucleotide ribosomal RNA is filed under the name uncultured bacterium. RNAcentral's name for it is "partial 16S ribosomal RNA". It matches the Rfam family "Bacterial small subunit ribosomal RNA", at positions 338 to 731 of the family's 1533-position model. The record is from RNAcentral.
CCUACGGGAGGCAGCAGUGAGGAAUAUUGGUCAAUGGACGGGAGUCUGAACCAGCCAAGUAGCGUGAAGGAUGACUGCCCUACGGGUUGUAAACUUCUUUUAUCAAGGAAUAAAAUGAGGCACGUGUGCCUUUUUGAAUGUACUUUAUGAAUAAGGAUCGGCUAACUCCGUGCCAGCAGCCGCGGUAAUACGGAGGAUCCGAGCGUUAUCCGGAUUUAUUGGGUUUAAAGGGAGCGUAGAUGGGUUGUUAAGUCAGGUGUGAAAGUUUGCGGCUCAACCGUAAAAUUGCAAUUGAUACUGGCAGUCUUGAGUAGAGUUGAGGUAGGCGGAAUUCGUGGUGUAGCGGUGAAAUGCUUAGAUAUCACGAAGAACUCCGAUUGCGAAGGCAGCAUACUA